RNAcentral lists this non-coding RNA (844 nucleotides) under Ophiomorus punctatissimus. RNAcentral's name for it is "partial 12S ribosomal RNA". It matches the Rfam family "Bacterial small subunit ribosomal RNA". The record is from RNAcentral. Lineage: Eukaryota; Metazoa; Chordata; Lepidosauria; Squamata; Scincidae.
ACAAAGUUUUGGUCCUAAACUUACCGUUGUUUUUAACCAAAAUUACACAUGCAAGCCUCCACAUACCAGUGAAAAUGCCCAUACAUUCCUAAACAGAAAAACGGAGCGGGCAUCAGGAUCAACAAAUUUUAGCCAAUAACGCCUUGCUACGCCACACCCACACGGGCCCACAGCAGUGAUUAACAUUAACACAUAAGCGAAAGCUUGACCUAGUUAUGGUUAAUAUGGAUCGGUAAAUUUCGUGCCAGCCACCGCGGUUAUACGAAAGAUUCUAAACAAUGGCAUUCGGCGUAAAGCGUGACUAGAUGCUGUCAAAAAAUUAAAGGAAAACCACCGUCAGGCCGUAAAACGCUACCACGAACUGGAAUCCCACCAACAAAUGCCUUUAAAUAAAAGACUGUUUUACCUCACGAAAGCUAAGAAACAAACUGGGAUUAGAUACCCCACUAUGCUUAGCCAUAAACAUAGAUAAUAUAAACACAAUAUUAUCCGCCAGAGAACUACAAGCAAAAAACUCGAAACUCCAAGGACUUGGCGGUGCUCCACAUCAACCUAGAGGAGCCUGUCCUAUAAUCGAUACUCCACGUUAAACCUUACCAUCCCUAGCAAAUCAGCCUAUAUACCGCCGUCGUCAGCCUACCUUAUGAAAGAAACAUAGUAGGCAAAACAGUUAUUAACUAACACGUCAGGUCAAGGUGUAGCACAUGGGACGGAAGAGAUGGGCUACAUUUUCUGAAACAGAAAACACGAACGGUCAAAUGAAACUUAAACCCAAAGGCGGAUUUAGCAGUAAGAUAAACAAGAAAAAUUAUCUUAAACUAGCUCUGGAGCGCGCACACACCGC